GGACGACAGGCAGGGACCUGACUUCCACGAGGGACUCUCUGGUUUAUCAGCAUGCAGCGAGGUCUAGAAACCAGAAGUUGACUGAUGUUACAGACGUCAGAAGCCACACUUGUCUGCCGGUUCCCGGCUGUUUUCGUGAGUCUUGAGGAGCUGCGAGGAUCGAGGACUUAUAGGAGAGAGACGGUCUGGAUCUGAUCUGGUCCUGAGAGAACUGCAUCUCUUUAUAUUCCACAUCCCUACACAGAUACAAGACGGCAUUAAUGUGAACAGGUUUCUGUGUGAACAGAAACCCUGAAACACACAGACGUGCUGAUGGAGGUGAAAGGUCACUCACGUGAGGACAUAGUUGACGCUGACGAUGCAGUGCGGCCGAGAAGAGCGGCUGUUGUGAACGAUGGUGGCACAGCUCUGCACCCAAACCCAGCCGCCGUGUUUGGAAAGCAUCCGGUAAUCUGUGCAUGCUGAGACCCCUUCUCAUGUGGGUUGAGCUGAAGCUCACCUGCUGUCCAGGAAGAUGAGUUUGAGGUCCAGACUGGCGCGGAACAUGAACAUGUUGCUGUGGAGUUUGAUCUCGGUG
Molecule: long non-coding RNA, 577 nt
Organism: Carassius auratus (goldfish)
Lineage: Eukaryota; Metazoa; Chordata; Actinopteri; Cypriniformes; Cyprinidae
Exons: 4
Source: RefSeq, a predicted model, not a curated record